GCACGAGAAGUGGAGCAAUCCAUGAGUAAAGUGGCGUACGGGUGAGUAACACGUGGAUCAUCUACCUCUUAGUGGGGAAUAACCCUGGGAAACCGGGGCUAAUACCGCAUAAGCCUGAGAAGGGAAAGCAGCAAUGCGCUGAGAGAGGAGUCCGCGGCCGAUUAGCUAGUUGGUAGGGUAAAGGCCUACCAAGGCAAUGAUCGGUAGCCGGCCUGAGAGGGCACACGGCCACACUGGCACUGAAACACGGGCCAGACUCCUACGGGAGGCAGCAGUGGGGAAUCUUGCACAAUGGAGGAAACUCUGAUGCAGCGACGCCGCGUGAGCGAUGAAGCCCUUCGGGGUGUAAAGCUCUUUCGACGGGAACGAUAAUGACGGUACCCGGAGAAGAAGCUGCGGCUAACUACGUGCCAGCAGCCGCGGUAAUACGUAGGCAGCAAGCGUUGUUCGGAAUUACUGGGCGUAAAGAGUGUGUAGGCGGUUCUCUAUGUUCGGUGUGAAAUCUCCCGGCUUAACUGGGAGGGUGCGCCGAAAACUGGAGGGCUUGAGUAUGGGAGAGGAAAGCGGAAUUCCUGGUGUAGCGGUGAAAUGCGUAGAUAUCAGGAGGAACACCUGCGGUGUAGACGGCUUUCUGGACCAUCACUGACGCUGAGACACGAAAGCGUGGGUAGCAAACAGGAUUAGAUACCCUGGUAGUCCACGCCCUAAACGAUGCAUACUUGGUGUGAGCCGUUCAUU
Molecule: ribosomal RNA, 738 nt
Filed under: uncultured bacterium
Lineage: Bacteria
Description: bacterial SSU rRNA
Rfam family: Bacterial small subunit ribosomal RNA
Source: RNAcentral